Molecule: long non-coding RNA, 345 nt
Organism: Sander lucioperca (pikeperch)
Lineage: Eukaryota; Metazoa; Chordata; Actinopteri; Perciformes; Percidae
Exons: 3
Source: RefSeq, a predicted model, not a curated record
UAUUAAGUAUAUUUGCAAAUAUAGGAGGAACACAAUUUCACAAAAAGGCACAGCAGCCCAGUGUGGUUAAAGUGUCUUCAAUGAGUGAACAGGAACACUGAGCUUAGAUACAUCUUCAGAGUGACAGCACACACGCACUUGGCUUAUUAUGACUCUACAAUUCUCACAGGCAAUCUGAUACACAUGAAGACAAUCAAAAAACACAAAAGACAUCUUGGAGCCAUUUCAGCCUCCUCCUCCCUGUACGACUUUCACCCCCCCAGUUGCAUCUCAACUGGCAUGGGAAAACUGAAUGUAUCAGGAGAGAUAGUUUUAGGAUGAGAAAAAAAUUUAAAGAAUCAGGUC